GUGAAGAUGGUGACUGUGUUUGACAAGCUCUCCACGAACAGAGUCAUCCAGCCAAUGGGGAUGAGUUCCCUGGGUCGUUUUACAUCCAUGCAGAAUGCCAUGGGGGAGACUAUGGAGGAGCAGCUCUCCUCGGACCCUGACCGGGACACUGACUGAGGAUGGCAGCUCUUCUGCUCCCCCAUCAGAACUGGUUCUGUUCAUGAUUUGCCUCUGGUCAUUUUCUUAUCUCUAGACCUCAAUGGUCUUCUCGUGCUAGAAUGCAGGGCUCAGCCUUGAAUUCCGCAGCCGAAGUACUUUCUUUUGUCUGCACCAAGAGGAAUGUGUGCAGAAGCUGCUGCCUGAGGGCAGGGCCCACCUGGGCAGACAGAAGAGCAUGCAUAUGGGAGGGCAGAGGGUUGGGCAUGGUUGUGCACAGGGCAAGCACAUCUGGGAUUGGCAGGCUGGCCAGAGCUGGUGUUUUGGGGCAUGUGCUAAACUUCACAGAGAGAAAGAACCUGUCAGAGCUUUGCAUAUGAGUAUGUCAGAACAUACACUUCCAAGGUAUGCUCUGUUGUUUCUGUCCUGUCUUUACUGAGCGCAGGGCUGGAGGCCUCUUAGACGUUCUCCUUGGUUCUUGUUCAGCUGCCCACUGUAGUAUUCACUGUGCCCGAGUUCUUGCUGGUUCUGGCAAUUAAAUCUCAAUCCUUCCCACUGGCUUGGACUACACUUACAAGAAGGAAAAUGUCCCUUGUGUGACAGAUUGAGAUUUAUUCCAUAUACCACACAUAGGCACAGAAACAUCAUCCUGAAAGAAGAAGAGUUUUGAG
Molecule: long non-coding RNA, 806 nt
Organism: Sapajus apella (tufted capuchin)
Lineage: Eukaryota; Metazoa; Chordata; Mammalia; Primates; Cebidae
Exons: 2
Source: RefSeq, a predicted model, not a curated record